This is an RNA transcript of Manduca sexta (tobacco hornworm), 3334 nucleotides long. RefSeq lists it as uncharacterized. The record is from RefSeq and is a predicted model, not a curated record. The transcript is spliced from 2 exons. Lineage: Eukaryota; Metazoa; Arthropoda; Insecta; Lepidoptera; Sphingidae.
UAUGUAUAUUUUGUUCAUAAUAUUACUAAAAAGUAUUGUAUUUCCCGAGGACUCUUGACAUUUCUAUAAAUAAACCGGUAUAAAUUGGUAGGAGUAACCCUUGGUCAAUCAUUUGCUGCUAUCGAAUCAUACGAGAAGUGCGCCAGACUUUGUUCCCGCAGUGCUAGUAAUUGUGUUGUAUUGUGCAUAUUUCAAAGUCUAAGAAUCUCAUUCAGCAAUAAUAAGUCAGCAUGAGGAUACAAAAAUUUAACACAUUGUUGGCCAAAGAGUCGAAGCCGCAUGUCCUAAAAAACUGCAGUCUCGUUAUAGACGCACAGAACUAUUUCUAUGAAAUGUACAAGAAAAGUGAGCUUUCGGCUAAUUACGGCUGUGAAAGUAACCAUUUUGCGAAUUUCUUGAAAAAUGAACUCGGCAAGUUUAUCAAAGCCAAUGUAAAGUGUUACUUUAUUUUCAAAGGAGGGUCGAAAGAUAUCGAAAAGCGACGCAAUAAAAAAAUGACUCAGUAUUACGGAAACUUUGUAUCGACAGUGUUCAUGAAAACUAUUUGCAGACAGGUGCUGGAAGAGAUGGGCUUCGACUACGUUAUAUGCGAAUUGGAAGCCAAGGAGCAAUGUGUCGCGCUCGCUAACAAACUGAAAUAUCCAACCAUGAGCAACGACAUUGAAGUAGGCAUCUUAAGUAAUUCCUACAUCAAUUAUUAUCAAGUUUCUUUCAAUCCUACCACGAAUGGCAUUCAGUGUAAAUUGCUACGAUUUAGCAAUUUCUUAAGAAAAUAUAAAUUAACUAUAGAGAAGUUUUCCGUUUUAUUUUGGUUACCGACACAACAAUUUAUCCCGAAGGAUUUUUCGCUGACUUUUUGAAAAGAUUUGAAGUACGAAAUCAGCUUGCUGCUCAAUAUGAAAUAAUACUUCGAUGGCUAUCAAGUCAAUCAAAAGACGAAGCUCUUAAUGAAGUUACAAAAACAUUCAAACCGAAAGAAAGGAAUGAUAUCUUACUAAAAGAAAAGGAUAUAUUAAAUGCGCUUCGCACUCCACCGUCACUCGGUAUACCCUAUCAUUACUUCUUUAACAAACAACAGAUCCACAUUACGCCUAAUGAUCUGCAGUGGUUCGAGAAAGGCAUAGCUUUAAGAUACAUCGCCAUACCGUAUAUAAACUUGUACACCCAGGGUAUUAUCGAUGGUGGUUGGGCAUUUCAUGACCGUUCAAUGCCUGAUGCACUCCUGUUUUCUGCGGACAUCAUCAAGUAUGCCCUCAACUUAUUAUCCAACUACAGCAGAGACUCUUUCCAAAUUGAAAGAGAUAAUGGCGAAAGUAUUAAAGUUAGCACGAAAAUGCCGGAUGUUCCAAAACCAGAUUAUACGGUCAGCAACGUCAUAUUCGAGGACGGUUGGGAUCGCGUCGAAAAGCUUCGUUUAUUGGAACAUUUUUAUAGGCACACUAUCAGAGGUGCCAAAUGGGAAUUCUUGCAAGCAUUGCCGUGUGAGGCAAGAUUGUUGAUGGUGGCUCUGGUCUACAUGGCGCAGAAGCACGACACGUGGGGGGAACGCGAGGCGUACAGCGUGCUGCUGUCGUUCGCGGUGCUAUGCAACGACGACAUCAAUAUGGAAAAGCACGACCGCGACUGCGCCCUUCUAGACCUCACUCAAAAUUACAUGACGGAAUGUGAAAUUGAUAAAACGCUAGUUUACCCCAUGUUCCAGUUCCAAUACUGUCUCGAGCAUAUGAAUUAUUUGAACGCGCUAUGUGGUUUCCAAUACAAAGCUACAAUUUACAGCAAAACCAAUAACAGCAAGUUAAUCUAUAAUGUUCUGAAGAAGUUAAAUGAGUCCGAUGUUGAUCCACUCGCACAAAUAUCCCAGAUUUUGAAAUCGGCGCCGACUGUUGUAAACUUUAUAAAGAAGCUUGUAGACACAAACAAAAGAAUCAUGCCAUUUAAAAAUUUAUUGUAAGGUAAUGAAACCCUCGGAGGCGCACAAUUUUUUAAAUCUUCAUAAAAUCCUUUAAUAAAUAAUAUAAGAGAAACCUUUGAUUAAAUUGCAACAUAACUACAUAUUAUAAAUUUAAUAUUAAAAGAACUAAUAAAUAACGUCAGUAUGAACAAAUAACACCUAAAGCAUAGAUAGUGGGCCUUGUUAGGAACCGGGCUAUCUUCAGUUUGUCGAUUGAUAUAUCUCAAUUCGCUAAAUAUACAUCUUAUUGUUUAGGUCAUGUUCACAUUUCGUUAAGGAUCUAAAUAUAUCAUGAUAUCCUGUUCCAACAAUGCCCGCCCUCGGAUAUUGAAGCGACUUAAUACUAAUUGUAUUAAAUAUUAUUGUGCUAAGAAGUUUUUAAAACCAUUUUUUUUUUAUUCUAUUUAGAAGUAUUUUUUUAUGUUCUUGGGCUCACCAUUUCUCGGGCUGUAUUUACACCCAUACUGUUACAAUAUUUUGUAUAAAACAUUUACGAGUUGAUUACGGUAGUUUACGAUUAAGUUAUAUCUAUCUAUGUAUCAUUGAAUGAAUCAAUAUUUUUUUAUUUUAUAUAAAAAAUACAUUUAUUACAUAAAAUUUAGUAUAGCGGUGGGAGAAUUCAUUUUUGUAAUAUACUAGCUUUUGCCUGCAGCUCAGCCCGCGUGUCAAGUUUUUCCGGCAUAAAAAGCAGCACUAGAAAGUAGUACAGCUUCCUAUUAGUGAAAAAAUCAAAGUCAGUUCAGUAGUUCUUGAGAUUUGCGCGGUCAAACAAAGAUAAAAACUUAACUUUUUAUAACAAGAUUAAAUCAAUGUUACUAAAAUUAUCAUGAACAAGCUUUGUCUAUGGGUAUGUUUUUCGUAGGUAACCUAUUCAGCUAUUUUAGUUCAUAAAAACCAGAUAUUAAAACAAUAUAAUUAUCACCUUUAACGCGGGUUGAGACGGAGGCAAAAGCUAUUCAUGAUUUAUAUGUUAUAUAAAAAAAAAUAUUCAAGUAAAAUAAGGCUACAGAAGAUAAUUGCCAGUGGUUUCCACAUUACGCUGAGCCUGUGUUUUGCGAAACGAAUUAUUAUUAUAUAAAUGAUUAUAAUUUGAUAAGCGUAAGUUAGUGAGCAUUUAUAUUUUGUAUUCGUGUGUAUAAGUUAAGAAUAGAGUUAAUGUGAGAUUAUUCUUAUAACUACUGCUAUUGUACAUUACAGUGAUAGACAGCAAAUAAUACAGUGACAUCGCUGAAGUGAUGAUAUUCACUGCCUAGGACUGUUUUAUUACUGUACUAUUUUCUAGGAUAACAAUCAGAUUGUCUUCAAAGAAACGUAUGUCCAUUACAAUCCAAUUGUUUAUAUUGACUGUUAAAAAUAAAUUUAAUAAAUUUAUAGUAAUCAAAA